Non-coding RNA from Podarcis lilfordi (Lilford's wall lizard), 9141 nucleotides. The record is from the annotation of a GenBank genome assembly. Lineage: Eukaryota; Metazoa; Chordata; Lepidosauria; Squamata; Lacertidae.
AUUGUGAGUACAACUCAGCAGUGAUUUAUUUGUGUUCUUGUUUAUUAUUUAAAAAUAUGUAGACCAACCUUCAUGUGUACUGCUAGCAGGCACGCCAUAAAACCAUCCUACCCAGGGCUGCAUGCCAGUGGUAAGUGGGAGGCAGAGGCAGAGGGGAAUAGAACAGUCAAUGUGACUCCCGUCUUUGUACAGCUAUGCAAAAGUCAGAGGUCUUUAGUGGCCCCCUUUAAAUCCACUUAAGCAAGAAUGUUCAAGGAAACAUUCCAACCAGGCAAAAUCACUUGAGUGUGUAGUGUACAGCUGGAGAGGAGUAUGACCUGGAGAGAGUCCACUGUUGUUGUUUAGUCGUUUAGUCGUGUCCGACUCUUCGUGACCCCAUGGACCAGAGCACGCCAGGCACUCCUGUCUUCCACUGCCUCCUGCAGUUUGGUCAAACUCAUGCUGGUAGCUUCGAGAACACUGUCCAACCAUCUCGUCCUCUGUCAUCCCCUUCUCCUUGUGCCCUCCAUCUUUCCCAACAUCAGGGUCUUUUCCAGGGAGUUUUCUCUUCUCAUGAGUCCACUAGGCUGCAUUUAACUCAUGGGCUGGACGUUCCCCCACCCCUUUCAUGAAACCCAAGGGUUUUAUUCAGCAUUAGCUAUAUUCAGAGUAGACCUAAUGAAUCAGUAGAUAUGGUAACUCAAAUCCAUUGAUUUUGAGAGGCCUACUCAAUGAAGUAUUUGAAUAUUACUCCAAUUAUUAAAGACGUAAAAAGCUGAACAGAGGAGAAGGCUAAAAUACUAGCUUCACACUUUGUUUUAUUUUUAGAAAACAACCUUAAAAGCUUGAGGGCACUUAGAGGGCUAAUACCUUCACAGCACUGAUAGUCAUCCUUAAAACAAUAUUUUAACUGUGUGGUGUGUGAAGAAAUGCAUGUUUCUGUCUAUUGUGAACCUCCCACUAUUCAGUCUCAUCUGCAGGGGCAUGCCUGUGUCAGAAAGGAGUGAUAGCUCAUUUAAGAUGGUGCUUGCUUUCUGUACUUGUACAUGUUUUAAAAGUAUUAAUUUUUUUAACAAACAAACAAACCCUGCCAUCUGAUUGAAUCAUAGAAUCAUAGAAUCAUAGAAUUAUAGAGUUGGAAGAGACCACAAGGGCCAUCAAGUCCAACCCCCUGCCAAGCAGGAAACACCAUCAGAGCACUCCUGACAUAUGGUUGUCAAGCCUCUGCUUAAAGACCUCCAAAGAAGGAGACUCCACCACACUCCUUGGCAGCAAAUUCCACUGUCGAACAGCUCUUACUGUCAGGAAGUUCUUCCUAAUGUUUAGGUGGAAUCUUCUUUCUUGUAGUUUGGAUCCAUUGCUCCGUGUCCGCUUCUCUGGAGCAGCAGAAAGCAACCUUUCUCCUUCCUCUAUGUGACAUCCUUUUAUAUAUUUGAACAUGGCUAUCAUAUCACCCCUUAACCUCCUCUUCCCCAGGCUAAACAUGCCCAGCUCCCUUAGCCGUUCCUCAUAAGGCAUCGUUUCCAGGCCUUUGACCAUUUUGGUUGCCCUCCUCUGGACACGUUCCAGUUUGUCAGUGUCCUUCUUGAACUGUGGUGCCCAGAACUGGACACAGUACUCCAGGUGAGGUCUGACCAGAGCAGAAUACAGUGGCACUAUUACUUCCCUUGAUCUAGAUGCUAUACUCCUAUUGAUGCAGCCCAGAAUUGCAUUGGCUUUUUAGCUGCCGCGUCACACUGUUGGCUCAUGUCAAGUUUGUGGUCAACCAAGACUCCUAGAUCCUUUUCACAUGUACUGCUCUCAAGCCAGGUGUCACCCAUCUUGUAUUUGUGCCUCUCAUUUUUUUUUGCCCAAGUGCAAUACUUUACAUUUCUCCCUGUUAAAAUUCAUCUUGUUUGUUUUUGCCCAGUUCUCUAAUCUGUCAAGGUUGUUUUGAAGUGUGAUCCUAUCCUCUGGGGUGUUAGCCAUCCCUCCCAAUUUUUUAUUUGUUUAUUUCACAAAAUUUAUUUACCGCUUGAUUGCAAUAAAACCUCCAGGUGGCUUACAAGAUAAACCUCUAAGCAGCUUACAAGAAACAAGAUCGGUCUUAUUUUCUUACGUUGUGUAAACCAUGUAACCUAUUGCGACUCUAAAGUCAGAUUUAUUGUGGGGCAGAAGGGAGAUCAAAGCAAAUGGCUAAAGAGCCCUUUAACUUUGCUCCUUAUCACUGCAUUUCAAAUACAUGAUUGCCCUCUGCUGGAAGGAUUUUUAAAAGUUCUCCUUUUAAAAUCACAUCUAUUGGUUCAGUAAAAAAUCAAAGAAAGAAAGAACUUGUACAUUUGGGCAUUCUGAUGCGAAUAAAAAGUAUGCAGGUGUACAAGAUGGUUCCCAUAUAUGCAUAUUUGUGUAUGUGCCAGAUGUUCACAUCUGAACAUGCCUGAUACUGCUGGCUUUAAGUGGUGGGUCCACUACAGCAGCAAAAUGGUUAAAGAGGUGAAGCUUUGCCAUGUCUGAGGAACAGAGUUCAAUCUAUAUAACUUGUCACUAACCACCUUGAGCAAAUUUGGAAAAUGGGGUUGCAGCCAUUGAAAACAAAUAUACACAAGGGCUUUCCUAUGUGAUCAACUGAAGUGCAUGCCAAAUGCAUUUUUUCCUGAUUGGCAGAAUGUCCUCACAACCCUGCUCAGAGAAUGCAUUGCCACUGUAAACAGAUAAAAGGGCGUAUGCAACUUAGGCAACAAGCCAAAGGCACAGCCUUAUUUUCCUUUCUCUUUUUUUAAGCACGACAGUAGGCAGGCAGGCACCUCUUUGUGCUAUGUUCAGUACAUUUGCUAUAGUGAUGCUGAACAAUUUCCCUAGUCUUCACCUUAGGACUUGUCAGCUUCAGAGCUGGUGUUGUACAGCACAGGAGCACACUGCCUCCAAAUAAUUUGUAAGGUGGCUAAAAGAAAGAGUCAUAUAACACAGCAUAAGAAAGCCUUGGUGAAGUGAGGACAUUGGGCAGAGUACAGUGGCUGCUUCAGGCAGGUUGUUUCAGGAGUCAUGAAAGAGCCAUGGAGAUUUGCUCAUUCUUCUUGUAUUUUUACUUCCAGGUAAAGGGGAAAGUGCUUGUGGGAUUGUCUACCUCUGGUCCCAAAAUAGCUCGGCUUGCCUUGAGUUCUAAGCAUCAUAAUGGGAUGGGAGUGCCUUUUGCUGUUCCACCUCAGGCAGCAAAAUGUCUUGGGCAGCCCUUGGCACCAGCCACAUGUCAUAUGAUAACCGUAAGGGCAGCCACAUUCCACAAAGCAGCAAAGCAAACUUGGAUGACUUUAAAAGCGGAUUCAUAGAGGAUAUUCUAUCAAAGGCUGCAAGUCAUGGUGGCUGUUGUCAGGAGUGCCUGCAGGAGCCAGGCCCUGUGACCAGUAGGGCUUCGCAGGACUGGGGCCUUCCUAAGUUUAUUCUGGAGAGGCAAGGCGUGACUGCACAGGUGAGGCCGUUUGGUAACUCACUGCACCUGGUGGCAAGAGCCAGGAAGGGAUAUAAGGUCAGCAUUUCCCUUCAGCUCUUUGCCACAGCAACACGCUUCCUGCCUUGUUGCGUUUGGCUUCUUGCUUCCUGAUCCUCGGACCUCGGCUUAGUGACUCCUUGCUUCUCGACCCUUGGACCCUUGACUUCGUGACUUCUUGCUUCUCAAUCCUUGGACCCUUGACAUUGUGACUCCCUGCUUUCUGACCCUCAAACCCCUGGUUUCUGGACUCUCGUUCCUGCUCCCACCCUGCCAUCUUGCCCCCGGUCCCAACGUCCUCAGCCGAGACUUCAAUCGCCUGUAGACUGGACCAUGACAGCUGUGUUCUGACUCCAGUAUCGCAUACCAGUUGCUGAGUGCAGAGAGUGCUAUUCUGCUCAUGAUCUUCUUCCAGGAUUCCCAUAGGCAUCUGGUUAGCCAUUGUGGCAAGCAAAUAUGGGACAAGAUAGGCCUUUGGUCUAAUCCAGCAGAACUCUUAUGUUCUUAAGACAGCAUUAUCUAAUCAAAGGCUUACUUUCCCCCGCAGCAACAAAAUAUUCUCAUUCAAGUUCUCUGAGAGUCACAGUUUAAACAUCGCGACAUCCCCACACCCCACUAGCCAAAAAACAAGAUGUCUCAUCUCACUGCCAUUUAACAAUCAAGUUCUGAAACUGUUGGAGGGCACAUUCUUUUUUUUUAAAAAAAGACCAGUUAUUCAAGCAGGAACAUGCAAAUUUGUUCUGAAUGUGUAUUUGUAAUUAUUGUGAUUGCAGACAAAGCUAUGUUAUUCCAAGUGCAAAUGACCAAUUAAGUCCAUAAUUGGCCCUUUGCAUGUGAACUGCUUAACUCGAGAGCAAAGCAGUAGUAACUGUGCAUGCAAAUCAAGCAAUCCACUGUGACGGGCUACGUUUAAAGCUCAGGCCUUCUUCCAUGGUGGAAAAUUACAAAGCAAUGAUAGUUCUGUAAGGAGGACUUCAUGGGAGUUAAAUCAUCUCUAUAAAUACAUAUUCUAAUAUGCCACUAUAUUCCUCAAUAAGGAAAUAGAAUCUACCAUAGAGCAGAUUGGAUUCUCAGUGGCUAGAAUCAGGGAGAAGGGAACUAACCCCACCCUGUGCACACACACAGACUGCCGAUCCUAAUAGUGCCCCCAACUGAACCCAUUUACCUUUCCCCCAUUUGACUGGAUGGUUUCAGUCUUAGGAGACGAAUAUAAAACACUGCAGUGGGAGGCCAAAAUCUACCUUCUACCCCCUCCCCCCAUAUUUGAUAACCUGGUCCAAAUUUAUGGAAUUUUUGCAAUGAGGGUGCAAUGUGUCUGUCUCAUGUGCAGAGGAAUUAUAUACUUUCUGCUGUAUGCUUGGAGUGCUACACAUAGUAGUAGGUUAGAUGUUUUUCAUAUCACUCUGUUGUGAUGCUCACUGUAAAGUGAAGAACCUUACAGGAAAAGGGUAUUCCAGCACCUCAGAGGGCAGCAUCUGAGCCAGUCAGUCUGAUUGCCAGUUAUGCCGAGGCCACAUUGUGCUUUUCUGGCAAGGUAAAGAGAAGUUGGCCCUCUCCCAUCCCAAGAGUAUUUCCUGAACAGAUGUCGUCAACAUUUGCUAUGGCAUUAGGCCUAGACUUGUCUGGCAAGCAAGUCUGACUUGGACAGUUCAAGUUUGUGCUGUUUGCUACCUGCCAUGAAACUCUAAACCAGUGACAACUCUCGUGGGUGGCCCAAGUGGGAUCUGUCAAGCCUCAGCUUCUCCAUCAACCCCUCCUGCCGGAUGAGAAGCAGUCAGAAUGUUAUUGAGACUAGCGAGCAACAUUUCAUUUCCACAAUGCUGAUAGGUUUUUAUUAUUAUUAUUUCGUUUAUUUAUUCAAAGGAUUUAUAGCCUUUCUUUUGAGAAUGUGCUCCACAAAGUGGCAGGCAACAUAUCUGAAGAUAUAAACUUAAUAAAUCAUCAUCAUCUAUGAAAAUAUUAAACCCAAAACAAGCACAGAGAUAAAAAUAAAAUUUAAAAAAUCCACCAGACCCUUGUGUAACACCUCCUAUUUAUAUUAAUCAUUAAAUGUCAUCAACAAAAAAUGAGUCUUCAAAGCCCACUAAAGGGACAUAAAUAUUUAAUUUCAGAGGAACGGAGUUGCGGGGUCACCAAAGAGAAGGCCCUGCAAUGAAUGUUCACUUUUAUUUAUUUGUUUACUGUAUUUAUUGCACUUAUAUACAGUACUGUCUUCCUGCCAAGACGCUUAAGCAAGCCAUCUGACAUGGAUCUCAGCAUAAUUUUUGAAUCUGAAAAAAUAUCUGCUCCCUCAGGCGGUUGAGUGAAGUUGCUGGUUUCCCCCGCAGCCCUCCUUUGUGCUACCUUCCAUACUCUUCUGGAGGGUCUCCCACCCUCUGGAGCAGACUUUUUUCAAGGGUGCGGGUAGUCUGCAGCAGGGAAGAGGAAUUGCAAAAAGCCACUUCCCCUUCUCUUAGGUUUGUGGACAUCUCCUUUGGAUUAAAAGCAAUUCCAUAAAUAGGACAGGUAGCUACGUAAUAUUCCCCCCCAAGGCUUUUCUGCUUAUCCUCAAAUGCCAGCAAGUACUCGUCUGUAGAUGUUCAAAACACUAAAAAUCAUUAGAAAAGUUUAAAAUCUUGUUUGGGUGCAUUUUCUAGGAAAGACCAGUAUUUCACGACUCCUUCUAGACCUCUCCUUGCCGUGUGUUUUUAUUUAUUUUUAAUGUAUUUGCUGCCUCAUCAAAAGUUGAUAAGGUAGACUAUAUUUCCUAGUUUAACGUAUUCAAUUUUUACAAUAUACUAGUAUGACACUCUCUCACACAAAAGCCAGCUGCCUUACUUCCUACUACGGAGAAAAUUGUGGGAAAUUCACAGGAGGGAAAUUCUCAUAUAGAAGGUAAAAAUCAGAAAGCAGAACAGAAAUUGUAGCUCAUUUCCUCCCUGUUACAAAAGAAGAGCCUGCUGGAUCAGGCCAAUGGCCAAUCUAGUACAGUGGUACCUCAGGUUACAGACACUUCAGGCUACAGACGCUUCAGGUUACAGACUCCACUAACCCAGAAAUAGUACCUCGGGUUAAGAACUUUGUUUCAGGAUGAGAACAGAAAUCGUGCUCCAGCAGCGUGGCGGCAGCAGCGGGAGGCCCCAUUAGCUAAAGUGGUACCUCAGGUUAAGAACGGACCUCCAGAACGAAUUAAGUUCUUAACCUGAGGUACCACUGUAUAGGAUCCUGUUCUCACAGGGGCCUAUGGAAAACCGACAAGCAGGACCCAAGCAGACGAGCACUCACCUGUGGUUUCUGGUGUUCAGAAGCCUUUUGCCUCUGACUGCUGAGACCUUGUUACCUUUCCCAGAUAUAUUAUUAUAAGAAAGCACAAAUCAGUGAAAUAAUGGACACAGUGUAAGAUCAAAGAAAGUGUUGCUCAAGGGAGUUGCUUGGUUACUCCAAAACCAUAUUUUUCUCACAUAUAAUGGGAAUUACUUGAGAAUCCACCUUUUAAACUGAAAUACUGCACAUAAUGCAUGAUGGACUUUGCAGCUUCCUCCACCCUCUUGUGUAAAGUCAAUUUGGAAUGCAGUUUUCUAUCCUGUUUCCUCAAUUUUCAGGCCAGAUUGGGAGAUUGGCUCAUGAUGGUAGUCAUCUUACAUUUCCUCCAGAACUGAAAGAUAACAAUUUACUGACACCUGGACCUUGACAGUAUCCUGCUUCUGAAAAUCAAAGCUCAGCUCACAAGGCAGAUCUGCAAACAUAUCCCCCCCCCAAAAAAGUGCUAUGGGGCAGCCUCCCCACAGAAUCAUUAGCCCUGGCACCAGAUUCCAAAGGAUCCAGAAUUUGAAACAGCCCUGGCAGUGUAACAUCACCUUGGCUUAACUGAACUCUAUUUAUUUUUUCAUACGAAUAGAAUAUUCUGAACUCUGCUCAGUUUCCUAGCAUCGUCAGAAGCACAAAUAAACAAUUCACUUCACAUUAGUUUUAUAUCAAUUCAUAUUUAAGGACUGAAUCAGCUGCCAGGCGACUGACUUGAGAACACUGUAGCGGCAAUUCAUAUAUACAGAGCACAAAUAUAACAGAAAGGAACAAUGUCAGCUCACAUUAACAAUAGGAACGACCCAAUGAUCCUAAUUUAAACAUAUAUGUUAAUAUAAGCAGUCCAUAUGUCCAAAUACAUAACCAACUGAGGCUGGCAAUGGUAAGAUGUAUGUAUUGCAUUUGCAAAUCUUUAACUUGAUAUCUGAUGGCUACAGCCCCUUUCCCUAAUAUAGAAGAAAGGGGGUUGCCAGCUUUGGACCUUUAGAGCAACUGGAUCUGCAACCAUUAGCAGAUUAUUACAUUUGCUUCUACACUAGCCAUUUUCUUUGGAAUUUGCCAUCCUUUGAUUGCUCACUUGCUUUGAAGACUCCAGAUGAUGAGACUGCCAAGCUAUUGCAGUCUGGUGUUUCCUGCGUGUUUUCCUCCCUCUUUCCCUAGACCUAGUUCGUGGCUAUGUUUUUUUUCUGGCUUUAAAUGCAGUGCAUUCAAAAUAAUUUUCCUCAGUGUCUCAGAGCAAUGCGUCAGAUAUUGGGAGUGUUUAAAUGGUGGGUCAUAGCUGCUCACUGCCAGCCUGUGCUAGCGCACCCUCCAACAUUUCUCUGAUGAAAAUAGGAAACUACAUCAGGAAACUUCUCCCACAUUUGAACCCUGUCGCACGCAUAGACAUCAUAUACACAUUGGACACCUUGAGCCAAUUGCAACCUCUCUGCCAAACGUACCUCACAGAAUUGUUGUAAAGGAAAAAUGUGUGAGGGAAGGGAUUGUGUGCAACACCUUCCACAGAUAAAUGGAAUGAAAUAAGAUUUUAGCUGUAAGCUGCCUUGAGUCCCUGUCAGGGAAAAAGGAAGGAAAUAAUAAUAAUAAUAAUAAUAAUAAUAAUAAUAAUAAUAAUAUAUUUGCAACAACAACUGUGAGAAUGAACAGGAACAUACUAGAGAGCAACUCCUAUUGAACUCAGUGGGACUUAGUUCUGAGUAAAAAUGUUUAGGAUUGCAGUAUAAGAGUGCCCAGUCUUGGCCCAGUUACCUGGAAGUACGUUCCAUUGAAUACAUUGGGACUUACUUACGAGUAGACAGUGUAAGGCUCCAUUUACAAUAAAGGAAUAAACACUCCAUGCGUUUCCUUUAAAAAUGGCUGGCUGCAUUGCAAUUAUAGAAUUUAAAGUGGAUUGGUGACAUUUUCCUUCGAAAUUUAUAGGAAGGGCUUUGUGUGCCAGCUUCACCAUUUCCUUCAGCUGUUUUAUUUUCAGGAUAAAUAUGACUCCAUUUUUGUACUUGAAAAACACACACACACACACACACACACACACACCAUUUUUCAUUGUUCUCUGAGACAUGGGGGGGGGGGGAGGAAAACCUGGACAUUCUGGGAUCAAAUCAGAAACCAGGAUGGCUUCUGUAAUUCUGGGUCUGUCCCUGGAAAAUAGGGGCACUUGGAAGGUAUGUGCUAGUGGACUUUGGUGUGGGCUGUGGCCCUUUCAGCUGCCCUAGGGGGUAGGAGCUGGGGUGAAGCCUGCUGGAACCUGAUAUUCACUGAAAACAUUUAUGUCCUUAAUCUUCUUACAGCUCAUCUCCUCAGUCCUGGUCACACUGAGCUCAUUCAGAUCCUCAUCUCCCCAAUUAUGCACCAGCAUAUUCCUAAUUAUGGAGCCCAGCUGGCUUCCGAUUUCCAUCUCUCCCAGACUGAAGCCAGGG